Long non-coding RNA from Mangifera indica (mango), 344 nucleotides. RefSeq lists it as uncharacterized. NCBI's taxonomy places the organism in Eukaryota, Viridiplantae, Streptophyta, Magnoliopsida, Sapindales, Anacardiaceae. The record is from RefSeq and is a predicted model, not a curated record. The transcript has 3 exons.
UAGAUAUGUUUUGCUGCUAUUUGGUUCUCUAGGCUAUGAAAGGGUAUUGGUUGCUCUUCGGUACUGCUGGGAAACAAAUUGAUGCCGUACAUUUCAUUCAUGCCUUCCAGCUUACUGAAAGCUUUCCCCCUGUUCCCCUCCUGAAGACAUACUUAAAGAAUUGAAGGAGAAACUCACAGGGAAAGGGUGUGAGUUCGGGUAGAGAUACUAGUGACAGAUUGAUGUAAAUGCACAGGAACCUGCGGCUUUGAAAGCUGUAGUUAGUUGUGUCCAAGAGUACAGGCUUGAACCUGACUAUCCUCUUGAUCCAUUUCAGAGAAGGAUUGAACAACUGGAGAGGUCGA